This 76-nucleotide transfer RNA is filed under the name Pseudomonas amygdali pv. lachrymans str. M301315. RNAcentral's name for it is "tRNA-Thr". It matches the Rfam family "tRNA". Rfam says of the family: Transfer RNA (tRNA) molecules are approximately 80 nucleotides in length. Their secondary structure includes four short double-helical elements and three loops (D, anti-codon, and T loops). Lineage: Bacteria; Pseudomonadati; Pseudomonadota; Gammaproteobacteria; Pseudomonadales; Pseudomonadaceae. The record is from RNAcentral.
GCCGCUAUAGCUCAGCUGGCAGAGCACCUGACUUGUAAUCAGGGGGUCUCGGGUUCAAAUCCUGAUGGCGGCACCA